RNAcentral lists this ribosomal RNA (595 nucleotides) under uncultured archaeon. RNAcentral's name for it is "bacterial SSU rRNA". It matches the Rfam family "Archaeal small subunit ribosomal RNA", at positions 863 to 1458 of the family's 1478-position model. The record is from RNAcentral.
AAUUGGCGGGGGAGCACUACAACGGGCGGAGCAUGCGGUUUAAUUGGAUUCAACGCCGGAAAUCUCACCAGGGGCGACAGCAUGAUGAAGGCCAGGCUGAAGACCUUGCCUGAUCCGCUGAGAGGUGGUGCAUGGCCGUCGUCAGUUCGUACUGUGAAGCAUCCUGUUAAGUCAGGCAACGAGCGAGACCCACGCCCACAGUUGCCAGCGAGCCCUUCGGGGUGGCGGGUACUCUGUGGGGACCGCCGCUGCUAGAGCGGAGGAAGGAAUGGGCAACGGUAGGUCAGUAUGCCCCGAAUCUCCCGGGCUACACGCGGGCUACAAUGGUCGGUACAAUGGGUAUCUACCCCGAGAGGGGAUGGAAAUCUCCUAAAACCGGUCGUAGUUCGGAUUGAGGGCUGCAACUCGCCCUCAUGAAGCUGGAAUCCGUAGUAAUCGCGUUUCAACAGAACGCGGUGAAUACGUCCCUGCUCCUUGCACACACCGCCCGUCAAACCACCCGAGUAGGGUCUGGAUAAGGGUGCGCCAUGUUGACGCAUUCGAAUCUGGGCUUUGCAAGGGGGGUUAAGUCGUAACAAGGUAACCAAGGGCGAAU